This is a long non-coding RNA of Mus musculus (house mouse), 1891 nucleotides long. RefSeq annotates it as predicted gene, 51988. The transcript has 3 exons. The record is from RefSeq and is a predicted model, not a curated record. NCBI's taxonomy places the organism in Eukaryota, Metazoa, Chordata, Mammalia, Rodentia, Muridae.
CUUGCCCCCAGACCCUGAUGUGGAGAUAGGUUCACUGGGGUGCCUUCCCUGUUUUCCAACAGCCAGGCUGAUUCAAUUGCUUCAUGGUUUAUAGUUUAUGAAAAUUAGACUUCUAUAUUCUCAUUUUGAUAGCUACAGACUGUAUGCUUUACCAUACUUCCCAUGGGCCAGAAUAGAAAGAGGACUGAGACUAAAGCAGGCACUGCCUGGUACUGACUGUAACUGCGACAUCGUUGUCUCUCAAACCCUCUUACUCAUCUCUGAGAGUGUUUAGAGUCAGAUCCAGGGCCCCCAAGUGAAGCACAAAGUGUUGUAACUCGGGGUGUCAUUAAUGACUCCCAGAGGGUCAUUUUUUGUCCUGUCCUGUAGCAGCAACCCUGGGCCCACUGUACCGCACAGCUGACCUGGACAGCCUGCUCCUGACACUUGCCACUGGGCGUCCCGACCAGAAGGGUGGAACUGCUGAGCUGGCAAGGCAAGAUGGUACCAUUCCUUGUUCUCUGUGAUCUCCCCCCCUGCCUUCCUGGUACUCAGUGCAGGAGUGAGCCCUGGAUUGUGGAAGGACCUGUCUGUCCUAUAAGCCAGGAAGCCUAUGACUUCAGCCUUGCUGCUUGUGUCUGUCAACACUUCUGACUCCAUGAUACCCACCAUUUAUCCCUCAACCUCCAAGGCUGGCAGAUAUGUCUGAAUCAGGUAGCUAUGGGGCAAAAUAGCAGCUCCUUUUUCUCAGGAAGUCCCAGCGUGGAGAGAAGCACUCACCUGCAGAACACUCCCAGAUGGACAGGAGUACUAGAGAUUAACCAGUCCAAACUAUUAUACAGGGAAGCUGGGGGAGAGGGUAACAGGUCUCAGAGAGGGCUAGUUAUUUGCCAGGGAUCACACAGCUAGGCACUAGCUACUCUGCACUGGGGACUCCCAGGUGACAUUGAGGCUGCUGUGGGGCAGCAGGCCUUCACUGUUCCCUACCUACCUAUUAGGACACGAGUCUCUAGUCAGGGCAUCUCUAGGGUUGGACAGAUGGGAGAGGCUGGCUCUAAUAUCUGAAGCACAGUGGUUUCAAAAAGACCUAAGGACUGUUUGCCAUCAAAGCCAAUCCCAUGUAAGAUGUUUCAGCCAACUGUCUCUAGCUGCAGACCUGAAAAGGUUCUCUGACUAAGGUCCAGGCCUUCUGGGACUCUGCUGAAUCUAAAUGUCUAAAGACUCAUUCUACCAGGCUGUUGCUCAAGAAAUGCUGAGGCAGAGGGAUUAGGGAACAACCUUGAGAGAAGAAGGUGAUGCCACUGGGUCAGUUACUCUGUUUUCCCUAAGCCUUUUUGAAAGCUCCAGCCUUCUAAUUCUAGCCUGGAACUGGAUUCAUGUCGAGCAGAGUCCAGUGAGGUGCUGAGUCCUGCUUCCAGCAGGUUUUCUCUAGAUCUCUGUGGAGGAGGGAGGGGACUGAGGAGUGACAGCUGGCUCCCUGGGCUUCAUCUCCAUCUGACUUCCUCCACCCCACCCUGCAUAUCUUGACAGGCAGCACAAAACGAAUGGAAAGCCCAAAGCAGAGAUGCCACUGGUCAUGUGCCAAGGAGCCCUCUGCUUCUAGCCCUUCCUGAUAGCGUUUACAGAAUAUCACAGCAAAGAUGCCCUUACACAUCUCCUAGGGGUGUGUGGAAACCCACUCCUCACCUCUCUCCUCUGCAGCCUCCUGCAUCUGCUCAGAGGAACAUUUGCUAACUUCAAUGACGUCCUCAUGAUUUUCUGUGUCCUGAGAGCAAGGAGAGUCUACUCAAGUCCUUUGCAGUGACAAAGUCUCCGAGGCCUCAGCAGCAAGCAGCAGCAAGAGUCGACAGUGCUAAGAAAGGCAAGCUCGCCCUUCCCAAGAUACCUUCUUCUUGGCCAGCAACAGAUCCUG